GAUGAACGCUGGCGGCGUGCCUAAUACAUGCAAGUCGAGCGAACGGACGAGAAGCUUGCUUCUCUGAUGUUAGCGGCGGACGGGUGAGUAACACGUGGAUAACCUACCUAUAAGACUGGGAUAACUUCGGGAAACCGUAGCUAAUACCGGAUAAUAUUUUGAACCGCAUGGUUCAAAGGUGAAAGACGGUCUUGCUGUCACUUAUAGAUGGAUCCGCGCUGCAUUAGCUAGUUGGUAAGGUAACGGCUUACCAAGGCAACGAUGCAUAGCCGACCUGAGAGCGGGUUCGGCCACUCUGGAACUGAGACACGGCCCAGACUCCGACGGGAGGCCGCGGCAGGGAAUCUUCCGCAAUGGGCGAAAGCCUGAAGGAGCAACGCAGCGUGAGUGAUGAAGGGCUUCGGAUCGUAAAACGCUGUUCUGAGGGAAGAACAUAUGUGUAAGUAACUGUGCACAUCUUGACGGUACCGAAUCAGAAAGCCCCGGCUACCUCCGG
RNAcentral lists this ribosomal RNA (496 nucleotides) under uncultured bacterium. RNAcentral describes it as "partial 16S ribosomal RNA". It matches the Rfam family "Bacterial small subunit ribosomal RNA", at positions 28 to 506 of the family's 1533-position model. The record is from RNAcentral.